AGAGUGAACGCUGGCGGUAGGCCUAACACAUGCAAGUCGAACGGCAGCACAGUAGGAGCUUGCUCUUACGGGUGGCGAGUGGCGGACGGGUGAGAAAUACAUCGGAAUCUACCUUUUGGUGGGGGAUAACGUAGGGAAACUUACGCUAAUACCGCAUACGCCCUUCGGGGAAAGCCGGGGACCGGCAAUGGCCUGGCGCUGAUAGAUGAGCCGAUGUCGGAUUAGCUAGUUGGUGAGGUAAUGGCUCACCAAGGCGACGAUCCGUAGCUGGUCUGAGAGGAUGAUCAGCCACACUGGAACUGAGACACGGUCCACGACUCCGUACGGGAGGCAGACGAGGUAGGGAAUAGUUAGGACAAGU
RNAcentral lists this ribosomal RNA (361 nucleotides) under uncultured soil bacterium. RNAcentral's name for it is "bacterial SSU rRNA". It matches the Rfam family "Bacterial small subunit ribosomal RNA", at positions 26 to 375 of the family's 1533-position model. The record is from RNAcentral.